Molecule: ribosomal RNA, 254 nt
Filed under: uncultured bacterium
Lineage: Bacteria
Description: partial 16S ribosomal RNA
Rfam family: Bacterial small subunit ribosomal RNA
Source: RNAcentral
UACGUAGGGGGCAAGCGUUGUCCGGAAUCAUUGGGCGUAAAGCGCGUGUAGGCGGCUCGGUAAGUCCGCUCUGAAAGUCCAGGGCUCAACCCUGGGAUGCGGGUGGAUACUGCCGGGCUCGAGUCCGGAAGAGGCGAGUGGAAUUCCCGGUGUAGCGGUGAAAUGCGCAGGUAUCGGGAGGAACACCAAUGGCGAAGGCAGCUCGCUGGGACGUGACUGACGCUGAGACGCGAAAGCGUGGGGAGCAAACAGGG